CCUACGGGUGGCAGCAGUGGGGAAUAUUGGGCAAUGGGCGCAAGCCUUACCCAGCAAUACCGCGUGAGUGAAGAAGGUCUUCGGAUUGUAAAGCUCUUUGAUCAGGGACGAACAGAUGACGGUACCUGAAGAACAAGCCCCGGCUAACUACGUGCCAGCAGCCGCGGUAAAACGUAGGGGGCGAGCGUUGUCCGGAAUGACUGGGCGUAAAGGGUGCGUAGGCGGCAUAAUAAGUUAGAAGUGAAAUACCCAGAGCUUAACUCGGGUGCUGCUUCUAAGACUGUUGAGCUUGAGUGCGGGAGAGGUGAAUGGAAUUCCUGGUGUAGCGGUGGAAUGCGUAGAUAUUAGGAGGAACACCAGAGGCGAAGGUAGCAUACCGGCGCUCAACUGACGCUCAUGCACGAAAGUGUGGGUAUCGAACAGGAUUAGAUACCCUGGUAGUC
RNAcentral lists this ribosomal RNA (443 nucleotides) under uncultured bacterium. RNAcentral describes it as "partial 16S ribosomal RNA". It matches the Rfam family "Bacterial small subunit ribosomal RNA", at positions 338 to 795 of the family's 1533-position model. The record is from RNAcentral.